Molecule: non-coding RNA, 832 nt
Filed under: Megalotomus sp.
Lineage: Eukaryota; Metazoa; Arthropoda; Insecta; Hemiptera; Alydidae
Source: RNAcentral
UUUAAUAUUGAUUUUGUAUUCAAAAAUUGGCUUUUUUGAUAAUUUUAUAUGUAAGGUUUUUCGCGUAGAAAAUUAUCUAAAUGAUAAUUUGUCUUUAUUUGCAGUUUUUAAGAUUAAGGUUUUUCGCGUAGAAAAUUAUCUAAAUGAUAAUUUGUCUUUAUUUGCAGUUUUUAAGAUUAGUUUUUAUAUAAAUAUAGAGCUAGUUAAUUAAAGUAGAUUUGUUAAAAGUUGUGCCAGCAAACGCGGUUAUACAAUUGAUUCAAGUUAAUUUUUUUGGUUAUAUUAAUUUUUUAUUUUAGGAAUUUAAUUUAUAUUUAUUAAGUGAAAUUUUAAUAUAUUAUAUAAUUUCUUGGUUUAAGAAUAUAAUAAAAUUAGGAUAAAAACUAGGAUUAGAUACCCUAUUAUUCUAAUUAUAAAAUUAGUACCAUAACAUUAAUAGAUAUGAUCUUUAAAUUAAAAAAAUUUGGCGGUAAUUUAGUCCUUUCAGAGGAACCUGUCCUUUAAUCGAUAAUCCACGUUAUAUUUAACUUUAAUUUUGUUUAUAUACCUCUGUCAUUGAAUGUUUUAUUAGAAUAUUUUCUUUAAUUAUCAAUUUAUGUAAUGUCAGGUCAAGGUGUAAUUAUAUUAAAGGUUGAGAUGGGUUACAUUUAAUGUUAAUUUAUUGAUUUAUAAUUUGUAAUAGAUUAUAUUAAAAAGGAUUUGAAAGUAAUUUUAGUUAUUUUUCUAUAAUGAUUUUGGCUCUAAAUUAUGCACAUAUCGCCCGUCACUUUUAUUAAUAAGAUAAAAUAAGUCGUAACAAAGUAAUUUUACUGGAAAGUGUAAUUAGAAUUAU